RNAcentral lists this ribosomal RNA (342 nucleotides) under uncultured prokaryote. RNAcentral describes it as "bacterial SSU rRNA". It matches the Rfam family "Bacterial small subunit ribosomal RNA", at positions 8 to 352 of the family's 1533-position model. The record is from RNAcentral.
AGAGUUUGAUCCUGGCUCAGGAUGAACGCUAGCGGUGUGCCUAAAGCAUGCAAGUCGAACGGCAGCACGGGGGCAACCCUGGUGGCGAGUGGCGAACGGGUGAGUAAUGCAUCGGAACGUAUCCUUGAGUGGGGGAUAACGCAGCGAAAGUUGUGCUAAUACCGCAUAAGCUCUGAGGAGGAAAGCGGGGGACCGAAAGGCCUCGCGCUGAAGGAGCGGCCGAUGUCCGAUUAGCUGGUUGGUGGGGUAAAGGCCUACCAAGGCGACGAUCGGUAGCUGGUCUGAGAGGAUGAUCAGCCACACUGGGACUGAGACACGGCCCAGACUCCUACGGGAGGCGAC